GAUGAAGAACGUAGCGAAAUGCGAUAAGUAAUGUGAAUUGCAGAAUUCAGUGAAUCAUCGAAUCUUUGAACGCACCUUGCGCCCUUUGGCCAUUCCGAAGGGCAUGCCUGUUUGAGUAUCAUGAACACCUCAACUCUUUAUGGUUUUCCAUGAUGAGCUUGGACUUUGGGGGUUUUGCUGGCCUAUGGUCGGCUCCUCUAAAAUAAAUCAGCUUACCGGUGUUUGGUGGGUAUCAUGGGUGUGAUAACUAUCUACGCUUGUGGUUUUUCCACCAGGUAACCUUCGACAGCGGAGGUUCACUGGAGCUCAUAGAUGUCUCUCCUCAGCGAGGACAGCCCUUUGAAUGUUUGAUCUCAAAUCAGGUAGGACUACCCGCUGAACUUAAGCAUAUCAUAAGCGGAGGA
RNAcentral lists this unclassified non-coding RNA (404 nucleotides) under soil metagenome. Its description in RNAcentral is "partial contains 5.8S ribosomal RNA, internal transcribed spacer 2, and large subunit ribosomal RNA". The stretch from base 1 to 121 matches the Rfam family "5.8S ribosomal RNA", at positions 35 to 154 of the family's 154-position model. The record is from RNAcentral.